Molecule: long non-coding RNA, 182 nt
Organism: Frieseomelitta varia
Lineage: Eukaryota; Metazoa; Arthropoda; Insecta; Hymenoptera; Apidae
Exons: 3
Source: RefSeq, a predicted model, not a curated record
UAUACUCGCGACGACGCGGCGCUCUAAAGUAUACACCGCCGGACGGAUUUGUACAACAGUCGUCGGGUUUCCGAAAUAUCCUCGGGAAGGGCUGGUUAACAAAAGGUCCGUAUGCUCUCUGUGGAUCUAUCCCCGAACUUGGGAAAGCCACGCUCGUAGAAAAAGGUAGCACUAAAGCGACG